CAAUAGCGUAUAUUAAAGUUGUUGCAGUUAAAAAGCUCGUAGUUGGAUUUCUGGUCUGAUGCCCUGGCCCGCUUCAAUUUCGAAGUGAGUGCCGGCUGUGCGUCUACCAUCCUUCCUACGUAAAAUCGUUACCUACCCUUUCACUGGGCCGGGUUCGCGAUCUAGAUCUUUUUACUUUGAAAAAAUUAGAGUGUUUAAAGCAGGCUUUUUGCUAUGAAUACAUUAGCAUGGAAUAAUAAUCUAGGACUUCGGUUCUAUUUUGUUGGUUUCUAGUACUGAAGUAAUGAUUGAUAGGGAUAGUUGGGGGUGCUAGUAUUGGCGGCCAGAGGUGAAAUUCUUGGAUUCGCUCAAGACUAA
This 357-nucleotide ribosomal RNA is filed under the name uncultured eukaryote. Its description in RNAcentral is "SSU rRNA". It matches the Rfam family "Eukaryotic small subunit ribosomal RNA", at positions 592 to 939 of the family's 1831-position model. The record is from RNAcentral.